CAGCAGGUGUGUGACAGAUGUUCAGACAAUUGACAAAGCAUUUGGUGACCAGUCUGUUUUUACAAUAACAUGGAAGUGAUUUACCUGAUGUCUUGCGGAUAAUGGUAGAAAUCCUGACAUAAUGGAUAUCAUGAUUUGCUGUAUAUGUCACCAUGCAGUUGAAGACAACCAAGGCUCUAAACUUACAGUAAAAGGAUGCAGUGGAAUAAAUGAUGCUAGCUUGAAGAGACAGGAUAAUGUUCAGGCUGUUCCAGGAAAUUUUGUUCACAUUGC
Long non-coding RNA from Dreissena polymorpha, 273 nucleotides. RefSeq lists it as uncharacterized. NCBI's taxonomy places the organism in Eukaryota, Metazoa, Mollusca, Bivalvia, Myida, Dreissenidae. The record is from RefSeq and is a predicted model, not a curated record. The transcript is spliced from 3 exons.